This 324-nucleotide unclassified non-coding RNA is filed under the name soil metagenome. RNAcentral describes it as "partial contains 5.8S ribosomal RNA, internal transcribed spacer 2, and large subunit ribosomal RNA". The stretch from base 1 to 121 matches the Rfam family "5.8S ribosomal RNA", at positions 35 to 154 of the family's 154-position model. The record is from RNAcentral.
GAUGAAGAACGCAGCGAAAUGCGAUAAGUAAUGCGAAUUGCAGAAUUCCAGUGAGUCAUCGAAUCUUUGAACGCACAUUGCGCCCUGUGGUAUUCCGCAGGGCAUGCCUGUUCGAGCGUCAUUUCAACCCUCAAGCUCUGCUUGGUGUUGGGCCCUGCCCGCUGCGGUCGGCCCUAAAGACAGUGGCGGUGCCGCCUGGCCCUGAGCGUAGUACAUCUCUCGCUCCAGUGCCCGGUGGUAGCCUGCCAGAACCCCAACUCUCGUGGUUGACCUCGGAUCAGGUAGGGAUACCCGCUGAACUUAAGCAUAUCAAUAAGCGGAGGA